RNAcentral lists this non-coding RNA (156 nucleotides) under Roseibium sp. RNAcentral describes it as "6S RNA". It matches the Rfam family "6S / SsrS RNA". From Rfam's summary of the family: E. coli 6S RNA was the first non coding RNA to be sequenced, but its function was unknown until recently. It consists of 184 nucleotides that fold into an extended hairpin structure with a large single-stranded internal bulge. The 6S RNA specifically associates with RNA polymerase holoenzyme containing the sigma70 specificity factor. Lineage: Bacteria; Pseudomonadati; Pseudomonadota; Alphaproteobacteria; Hyphomicrobiales; Stappiaceae. The record is from RNAcentral.
UCGCGGCUGCGCGAUGCGUCAGGAAUUAUUUCCCCGGGGCCUUAAGCAUUCUCGCGGGAGCUGUCCCUGCUUCGGACCGUGGUCUGUUGCACACGGCGCCCACCUACUUUGUAGGUUUCCCGGGAUUGCACGUUCCGACGGUCGUGCGGUCGUGAC